RNAcentral lists this ribosomal RNA (1226 nucleotides) under metagenome. RNAcentral describes it as "bacterial LSU rRNA". It matches the Rfam family "Bacterial large subunit ribosomal RNA", at positions 1683 to 2925 of the family's 2925-position model. The record is from RNAcentral.
GGGGGGCGCGAGACAACUCUCUCUAAGGAACUCGGCAAAAUUACCUCGUAACUUCGGAAGAAGAGGUACCCCUUCACGGGGGUUGCAAUAGAUUGACCCUGGCGACUGUUUACCAAAAACACAGGUCUCCGCUAAUUCGUAAGAAAAAGUAUGGGGGCUGACGCCUGCCCAGUGCCGGAAGGUUAAAGAAGUUGGUUAGUCCUUGGACAAAGCUAGCGACUGAAGCCCCGGUGAACGGCGGCCGUAACGAUAACGGUCCUAAGGUAGCGAAAUUCCUUGUCGGGUAAGUUCCGACCCGCACGAAAGGCGUUACGAUCAGGGUACUGUCUCGGAGAGAGGCUCGGCGAAAUAGACAUGUCUGUGAAGAUGCGGACUACCUGCACCUGGACAGAAAGACCCUAUGAAGCUUUACUGUAUCUUGGAAUUGGGUUUGGUCUUUGCAUGCGCAGGAUAGGUGGGAGGCUUUGAAGAUGAUCUUGCGGGGUCGUUGGAGCCACUGGUGAGAUACCACCCUUGCAAUGAUAAAAUCCUAACUUUGAACCGUUAUCCGGUCAAAGAACAGUUUCAGGUGGGCAGUUUGACUGGGGCGGUCGCCUCCUAAAAGGUAACGGAGGCGUGCAAAGGUUCCCUCAGGCUGGUUGGACAUCAGUCGUAGAGUGUAAAGGCAUAAGGGAGCUUGACUGCGAGACCAACAAGUCGAGCAGAGACGAAAGUCGGCCUUAGUGAUCCGGCGCUUCCGAGUGGAAGGGGCGUCGCUCAACGGAUAAAAGUUACUCUAGGAUAACAGGCUGAUCUCCCCCAAGAGUUCGCAUCGACGGGGAGGUUUGGCACCUGGAUGUCGGCUCAUCGCAUCCUGGGGCGGUAGUACGUCCCAAGGGUUGGGCUGUUCGCCCAUGAAAGCGGUACGCGAGCUGGGUUCAGAACGUCGUGAGACAGUUCGGUCCAUAUCCGGUGCAGGCGUUAGAGUAUUGCGAAGACUCCUCCUUAGUACGAGAGGACCGGGGGGAAUGCACCGCUGGUGUACCAGUUAUCGUGCCAACGGUAAACGCUGGGUAGCCAAGUGCAGUUUGGAUAACUGCUGAAAGCAUCUAAGUAGGAAGCCAGCUUCAAGAUGAGUACUCUCACCGCUUCAAGCGGGUAAGAUCACGGCAAGAACAGCCGUUUGAUAGGCAUCAAGUGUAAGUGCAGUAAUGUAUUCAGCUGAGAUGUACUAAUAGAUCGAGGGC